This is a long non-coding RNA of Oncorhynchus gorbuscha (pink salmon), 1832 nucleotides long. RefSeq lists it as uncharacterized. NCBI's taxonomy places the organism in Eukaryota, Metazoa, Chordata, Actinopteri, Salmoniformes, Salmonidae. The transcript is spliced from 2 exons. The record is from RefSeq and is a predicted model, not a curated record.
AAGGAGUGAGAUACUGUUGCUAUCCAGCAGGGGGCAAUAUUCGUUAAGUAAUGAGUAAGUUUUGAUUGCGGAGCAGGACCAGAAGAUAUGAGAGUGAUCCACCCUUGAUAGCCCACAUUCUCUCCAAGAAGGGUGUAGUGAGCCAGUUGGUUUUGAUUUCAGUUUAGGUGUUAUGAAGAAAUAACAUUCUUCCAACAGAAUUCUCUCCAUGACCUUGAGUUGGUGGAGCUUUGUUGAGUCUCUGUUCAACCGUGUUUCAUCAGUUAUUUCAAUGUUAAGUUCCUCCUCCCAUUGCUUUUUAAUAUAGUUUGUAGAAUGUUUAUUUGGUGAUUGAAUACCCAAGUAGAGAUUUGUAAAUGUCUUUUUUUACUCCCCAAGUUGUAUGUGUUAGUGAAUACUUGGAUUCAUUUGAGGUGCUCGAGGGUCAGUCACUUUUACCUCCCUUAAGAAAUAGUGUUGGACUUGUAGGCAUCUGUAAAAAUCUUGUUUAUCCAAGCCAUGUUCUUUACUUAGGUCCUGGAAGUUAUCUUGGUCCCCAUUCUUUAUAAUUGUACUGAAUGAUGUGAUGCCUUUCUGCGUCCAUUGUUUAAAUCUGCUGUCCUGAGUUGCCGGGAUGAAGCUGAGGUCGUAUGCGGGCCAACUCAGCAGUUUGAUCUCUCUGUCUAAAUUAUUUUGCUUAACUACCCUAAAUCAUGUCUUCAGAGAGAAAUUUAUCCACUGAUUUUGUCUAUUGUAUAUUUCUAUUACCAUGUCCUUAUUACCCAUACAGUCAGUUUUGGGAAUCUCCGUCAAAGUAUUUUCAAUGUCUUUCCAUUUGGAUUCGUAUUAUGAAUUGCACAAACACACCAGAGGUCUCAAUUGGGCUGACACACGAUACUCUUUUAGGUUUGGUAAGGCCAUACCUCCACAGUUGUUUGGUAAUUGUAAUGUUGUAUAUCUAAUUAUUGGUCUCUUACUGUUCCAGAUAAACCUUGAUAUCUGUUUAUCCCAUUCCCUCAACUGUUUAGGUGGGAUUUGUAUGGGCAGUGAUUGGAACAAAUACAGUAACCUUGGCAGGAUGUUCAUUUUGAUUGUUUCAAUUCUACUACGAAGAUCUAAGGGAAGUGAAUUCCACCUAUAGGUCAUCAUAUAUUUUCUUGUUGAUGUGAUUGUAAUUCAUGCAAUACAUUUUGGGUGUACCUUUGGUAGAUAUGCUCCAAUAUAUUUAAUGGUUAAAGAGGUCCAGUGGAAGUUAUACCUGCUCUUCCUGUGGGGUAUAAUUAUAUACUACGUUUUGGGUCUUGUGUAUGUAAAGCACAUACCCUGAAUAUGUUCCAAAUGUUUGUAAAACAUCCAUCAGUCUAGGUACACUUGAGCCUGGGUCUUUAAGGAAUAACAGAACGUCAUCAGCAUACAUGCAUAUCUUAUGUUUACUGCCUCUUAUUGUUAUUCCCUCUAAGGUUGGGUCCUGUCUUAUUGCCUGUGCUAAUGGUUCCAGGUACAAGGAGAAGAGCGUGGGUGAUAGAUUACAGCCUUGUCUUGCCCCUCGCUCUAAUUUGAUCGUUCGUGUCAAAUGUCCAUUUAUCUUUAUUCUAGUUGUCGGACAUGAAUACAGUGUUUUGAUGCACUGUAUCACUUCUUUGUUGAAACCAAAUCUUCCUUGGAAUAGGUCAUCCCAUCCCACUGAAUCAAAUGCCUUUUCUGCAUCUAGGCUGAUUAAUAAUGCACUUGUCUUAUUCUGAGUAAUGUGGUCCAUGACAUGUAGUGUUCUCCUUAUAUUGUCCUGUAUCUGCCUAUUUUGUAUGAAACCAGUUUGAUCUCCGUCAAUAAAUUCUGGGAGUAUGUUCUCUGUU